This 484-nucleotide ribosomal RNA is filed under the name uncultured bacterium. RNAcentral's name for it is "partial 16S ribosomal RNA". It matches the Rfam family "Bacterial small subunit ribosomal RNA", at positions 29 to 507 of the family's 1533-position model. The record is from RNAcentral.
AUUGAACGCUGGCGGCAUGCUUUACACAUGCAAGUCGAACGGCAGCGCGGGCUUCGGCCUGGCGGCGAGUGGCGAACGGGUGAGUAAUACAUCGGAACGUGCCCAGUAGUGGGGGAUAGCUCGGCGAAAGCCGGAUUAAUACCGCAUACGACCUGAGGGUGGAAGCGGGGGAUCUUCGGACCUCGCGCUAUUGGAGCGGCCGAUGGCAGAUUAGCUAGUUGGUGGGGUAAAGGCCUACCAAGGCGACGAUCUGUAGCUGGUCUGAGAGGACGACCAGCCACACUGGGAGUGAGACACGGCCCAGACUCCUACGGGAGGCAGCAGUGGGGAAUUUUGGACAAUGGGCGAAAGCCUGAUCCAGCAAUGCCGCGUGUGUGAUGAAGGCCUCCGGGUUGUAAAGCACUUUUGGCGGGAACGAAAAGGACUGUGCCAAUACCACGGUUCGAUGACGGUACCCGCAGAAUAAGCACCGGCUAACUACGUG